RNAcentral lists this ribosomal RNA (481 nucleotides) under uncultured bacterium. RNAcentral's name for it is "partial 16S ribosomal RNA". It matches the Rfam family "Bacterial small subunit ribosomal RNA", at positions 28 to 507 of the family's 1533-position model. The record is from RNAcentral.
GAUGAACGCUGGCGGCGUGCUUAACACAUGCAAGUCGAACGAAGCAUUUAGGACAGAUUACUUCGGUUUGAAGUUCUUUAUGACUGAGUGGCGGACGGGUGAGUAACGCGUGGGUAACCUGCCUUGUACUGGGGGAUAGCAGCUGGAAACGGCUGGUAAUACCGCAUAAGCGCACAAUGUUGCAUGACAUGGUGUGAAAAACUCCGGUGGUAUAAGAUGGACCCGCGUCUGAUUAGCUAGUUGGUGAGAUAACAGCCCACCAAGGCGACGAUCAGUAGCCGACCUGAGAGGGUGACCGGCCACAUUGGGACUGAGACACGGCCCAGACUCCUACGGGAGGCAGCAGUGGGGAAUAUUGCACAAUGGAGGAAACUCUGAUGCAGCGACGCCGCGUGAGUGAAGAAGUAAUUCGUUAUGUAAAGCUCUAUCAGCUGGGAAGAUAGUGACGGUACCUGACUAAGAAGCUCCGGCUAAAUACGUG